This is a long non-coding RNA of Cydia pomonella (codling moth), 5406 nucleotides long. RefSeq lists it as uncharacterized. The record is from RefSeq and is a predicted model, not a curated record. Lineage: Eukaryota; Metazoa; Arthropoda; Insecta; Lepidoptera; Tortricidae. The transcript has 2 exons.
AUCCUGCACAUCAGUACCGAUUACCCCAAGACCAAAUGAAAGCCGUAUGAUUAUGAUUGUUAAAUCUAGAUGGAGUAUGUUGUGCUGCUCUGUCAAAAGGAGGAAAAUAGAAAUAAGAAAGUCACCCGUAUUGAAGGCGCGUGAUAUUGUCAUCGAUGUUGUUUAAAACCUAAGUCCGUCACCACCAAUCAUGUUUUAAGUCACUCGCAUUAUUAUAUGUUAAACAAUUCUAGCGAAAUUUAUCCUGUUUCUUGUGUUAAGAAAUAACAGGUUAUUAUAGCACACCACACAGGAUAACUAGUUCAUUACAAUAAAACUACGUAAAACGGGAACUAACAGGAAAUAUGAUAUCAAUUAGUAUAUAUUUCCUGUUUGCUCGCGAUUUAAUUAAUCAUUAGAUAGAUACCUACUACUUUUCGCUGAACAAAUAAAUUCAAUUACUAUUAAAAAUUGAUAUAUCAAAUACCACACAAUCUAUACAUUCAUCAGGCAUGUCAAAGACAUUUUGUAACAUGUCUAAGGUAUACCGAGUUCCAUAGGUCAAGGGAGCCAAUUGAAACACAAGAUUGGGCUGCAUCGUGGAACACACCUCACAUUUACGCUCGACAAAAUAUGACAACACACUCGAUUAGAAAACGAAAUGGGUUCUUAUCAAAAACCUAACUAUUUGUGCUACAGUGCUACUCAGAAUAUGACAAAAUUUUCCUGUUCUUUACACCAGAUUCUACCUCUAGUGGCCAAUAAGAAUAUACUUUUACCAAAGAAUAGCAUACAGGACAGAGCACCAAAAUAUUUGUAUAAUAAGCUCUAAAGCCAAAACCCAAUUAAAACCUAACUUGAGCUCUGGAUCGAACUAGCAGUAUUGUUAUUGGAGUAAAAAGAAUAUUUAUUUGCUUGGAGCUGGAUAAACACUGGUGAUUCCACAAAGUAUUCUUCUUGUCCCGGUGUUGAUCUUACGUCAUCUAACCCAACUAUUGUAUGAAAUUUAUUCUAGGCAAUUGUCCUUCAAAAUUCUGAAAUUUUGCUAUAAACCAACAAAAGGGUAGGCCUUCAUAAGGUGCUAAAUAAAUGAGAUAAUAAAUUCAUAACUUUUUUGCAAAUAAAUAGGCAUAACAGCAAUGACACAUUAGAAAAUAUUUCACAAUUUUCAAACCUCUGACCAUUUAGAUAAUUAGAUUUCGAAGAAACAGUAAGAAUACCCAUAUUUUAUGAUUAGUAGACAUCAACACAUUUAUUUCCAACAAACACAACCCAUGAUUCAACUGCUGACUCACCCAUAUAAAUGGUGUCAGUUAGACCAGCCCUGUUCCUAUACAAUUACCAGCGAUGAACCAAUAAUCACUUUUCACAAACAACGCUGACAUUUUAGCAAUUUAAGAAAUAUGUAAAAUAAAGACAACAAAGAUUCUACAACCUAUUGUCGUUUUUUUUGUGUAAAAAAUGAUUAAAGCAGAAUAAUUCCAAAGCAUGUAUUAUUAAAAUAAUUCUACGGAUUAUGGAUUGUUUCUUAAUGUUAGUAUGUCUCACAACAGUUUAAAUUCAGGCAUGUAUUAUUAAUCCUUUCACCAUCCAGUAAUCCAUUAACUUUAUUUUCUUUUUGUAAGUAGAAUAAUUUCAAGAGACAAACUAAAAACAAUUAUGACAUGGUUAUUGCAAUGCAUUUUAUUUCUAGGACAUAUAAUUAAUAUAACAAAAAUCUUUGGUUUUUAUUUAAAUUCAUUUGUGUACAUAAUUUAAUACAGAUGUUUCAUAAUUAAAUUGAAAUCUAAAAAACCUGAACCACAUAUCGUCGGGGAUAGUGCAAUACAGCGUAACUAACAAAGUUGUAAGAGUUCGAAAUUCAAACAAUGUACAAGGUAAUUGGACCUUACUGCAUUUGUUAGUUAAGCGGUAUUGCACUGUCCCCGACGAUAUCGCAGAAUACUAACAAUUGUCUGAAAAACACUUUCCUUUCCCACACAAACCCAGCUAAGCUGUCUUUACAAAAUUGUGAAUAAUAACAUUUUGCUUCCCAUACAAAUCGAGCCGCAAAGAAUUUCACACAAGUUUUAACACGAAGUCUGGAGGUCAGCGGGUCGACAUCACUGACAGUGACAGAAUUAAGACGUUUUCAUAGUUUACUUAAUGUACAGCCAUGUCAAUGUCAUGCACGACUCGAUUGACAGUUCCCAGUUUGAAUCAGUGCCUUGCCGCAAAAAAGGUUCUAUAAUAUUUCAGUAUUGUAUUAUGUGGAUUACAUUCCACACAAUCGAAUAUGCCUUGGACCGCACUAAGGUCAUCGUUCACUACAUACCCAGUCUGGGGGCCUACCGCGAAAACCGAAAUUCGCAAAUUGCGGGGAUCUUUCUCUUUUAUUCUUAGUAAGACGUAACACCAAGGCCCCCCAUUGUCUAUUCUCAAUACAAAAUUUGAUACUCAAGCCGUAGCCAUUUAGGUCGUGAGCAAGCUGUGUAUGCGAGCGUGUGGGUUUUUGACCAACUAAUAAAAUAUAUUUUCUGUAAUAAUUGAGUUAUUAUAAAGUAUUCAUUAUACAUUAGUAUUUCUAUGAUGUUAAUUUUUAGUGCAGAUAUCGAAGCUUUAAUUAAUUGCCCACCACCAAAAUGGCUACGGCUUGAGUAUUAAAUUUUGUAUAGACAACCGACAACGGGGGGCCUACCACAAAAACCGAAAAUCUUUCUCUUUUACUCUUACUAAGACGUAAUUAGAAUGACAGAGAAAAAUGCCCGCAAUGACGAACUUCGAUUUUCGCGGUUAUAGACCAGUGUCAAACCGUGAGUUGUGACGUCAUCAGAAUCUUCAAUGUCGUUUCGACUUGGGUCAUGUGACGUGUGCCAAAAGAUAUUUUAAAUUCAUUAUUUACAAAAAUAUGGUCAUUACAGGUCCCCUAAAAGUAGUUUAACAUGUUCUUAUAAUCCAAAAUAAUUUAUUGGGAUACAAUUCUGCCCUAAGAUUUGUAGAUGGAAACAACCCUAUUCUUUGGCCUAAAAUUGAUCAACUUUGAUUCCAUAUAUCUCGAAGACAGUGAACUUUGAACAGCCGUUGCUGUUAAUAUGAUAAGCUACAAAAAACAUUAGAAAACUAUGGAAUUAAGCCCCUUAAGUGAACGUUUCAUGAACACUCAAUUUUUUCAUAUGUCAAUUGCAUACUUAAGUGCCAAUAUCAUACCGAAUUUUUAAAGUUCGAUAGACUAGGGGCCAUUUUGUGCGCUUGCAACAUGUAUUAUUCAUCCGCUAGUUCUGAACACACUACAAUUAGCAGAGCCCAACUGGGAAGUACCUUACAGAAAACCGCAGCUAAAUAACAAUAAACCCUACUCAUAGUGUUGUGUUCCUGCCGGUGACUAACGUUGCCAGAGCUCAACGAGGGGAUGGAGGGGUGUUAGGGUCGGCAACGCGCAUGUAAUUCCUCUGGAGUUGCCUGCGUACAUAGGCUACGGAGACGGCUUACCAUCAGGCGGGCCGUAUGCAUGUUUGCCACCAAUGUAGUAUUAAAAAAUAAAACUGGACUGCCCGCCGUCUAGUCAGACAAUAGGGUUGUUUCCAUCUACAAAUCUUAGGGCAGAAUUGUAUCCCAAUAAUUUCUUUUGGAUUAUAAGAACAUGUACUAGCUACUUUUAGGGGACCUGUAAUGACCAUAUUUUUGUAAAUAUUGAAUUUAAAAUAUCUUUUGGCACUAGUCACGUGACCAAACUAGAAACGUCUUUGAAGAUUCUGAUGACGUCACAACUCUCGGAUUGACACUUUUGACAGUUAGGCGAUAAACAACAAAUGACAAAUGUCAGUUGACAGUUCGUAUCUUCUACGUGUGUAUGUAGUUAUGUGGCAAACCGUAAACUAUGACGUCACACAAUUUUCAAAGAGCGUUUUGGGCUCGAAAGCAUCUGUCAAAAUAUAUUUUGUUAAUUUAACAUAUUUAAAGCCGUUUUCAGUAUACAAGUUGAAUUUUAGGGCAAUGUUUAGUUGAUAUAGAACGUAAUACAAGCGUUUCAAAAAAAUUGAAACAACCCUAUUCACGACUACCCACAGACCAACGUCAGACUGUCUGUGGCUCUGAGGCGACCGUGUAGCGAGCCCUUUAUCACUAAUCUAUAAUAGACCGAACUGCAACCUUGGACCAACUGUUACAGUAACGCUUAAAUUUUGAUCAUAAAUAAAAUAAGCAAUUUGGCGACCGUCUAGAUCUGCCUUUUAGUGAGCGCGAGAGAGAUAUUUUGACCGGACCAAGGUCACGUACCUGUAUGCCCGUUUGUUAUGACCUUAAGAGCAGGUUAAAUAAAACAAAAUUGUCAUGUCAAUGUCACUGUGAAUUGACCUAUUAUGAAUAGUCAUUGAAUAGUAUUUACUGAAGACGUUUACUGGAUUGAACUUACUGAAAAGAAAAAAGAUCCUACUUAUGACAAGGCAGCAUGGCUUAGAGCUUUAGCCUGUCAAGAUGGACGACAAAAAAAACAAUGUGAUGUGACUGUCAUUAGUGUCAUUACUCGACUUGAUCCUCGCCUCGGGACGGGAUCCUCCAUCGUUCAAUUUAGAGCCAAGUUGCUAUUUUGUGUUAAAUUAAAAAUUAUGCUGUGAAGGAACUUAAAUUUUAAUUUAACAAGGUUUUCUUAUCAUUGGAAUAAUCUUGAAAACCAUGGCACAUUCGUUGGAGGUUCACAAUUGUAAUUGAUUGGUGGAAACUGCCACAAGUCUAGAAACCAUGAUGAGGACACUAACACUAACUGAACAAAGCAGCAAAGUAAGACUUGAAAUGAACACUAAUAAAACAAAAGUGCAUAAUCAUUGGUAACGAGACAAUAGAAUAUGUAAACAACUAUAUAUAUUUGGGCAAACAGGUGUCAUUCUCGAAAACCAGUAAGAAGAAGAGGUUAACAGAAGAUCAAGUAUAACCUGGAAGAAGUACUGGUCUCUGAAGGAAGUUCUGAAGGGAGACUACAGCAUGACAUUAAAAAGCGUGGUGAGUGACACCUGUCUCCUGUCAUGUCUAGUCUAUGGCUCACAAACAUGGGUUUACACCAGCAAAGUUAAGGAGAAAAUGAGAACUACACAGAGAGCUAUGGAGAAAAGCAUGACGGGGCUGCUCAGCGGGGACCACACUGAAAACAGUACACAGUAAACAGUUGUAAUACAGUUCUUUAUCUAAAAUUAAUUUCUCACAUGCGUCAUUAUUAGCUAAUUGUAGGGCUGCCAUCUUGAUUUUCGCCAAACCCGGACAAAGAUUAAAAAAAACCCGGACAUUUGGCGUAAAUCGCAUUUUUUCCCCAGACGAGUCCGAAAAUAAUAUUUUUAAAAAACAAGACCUUUAGUUUUCAUACAUUUAUUUUUUUAAUUUCACACAAUGUGUAAUUUGUAAUAAACAAAAACAAAACAAUUUUUCUUACAAAAAAAUAAAAUUUGUUUCUUUUUACAA